This 460-nucleotide ribosomal RNA is filed under the name uncultured bacterium. RNAcentral's name for it is "partial 16S ribosomal RNA". It matches the Rfam family "Bacterial small subunit ribosomal RNA", at positions 338 to 795 of the family's 1533-position model. The record is from RNAcentral.
CCUACGGGAGGCAGCAGUGAGGAAUAUUGGUCAAUGGGCGUGAGCCUGAACCAGCCAAGUCGCGUGAGGGAUGACUGCCCUAUGGGUUGUAAACCUCUUUUAUAAGGGAAUAAAGUGAGGCACGUGUCCCUUUUUGUAUGUACUUUAUGAAUAAGGAUCGGCUAACUCCGUCCCAGCAGCCGCGGUAAUACGGAGGAUCCGAGCGUUAUCCGGAUUUAUUGGGUUUAAAGGGUGCGUAGGUGGGAUUUUAAGUCAGUGGUGAAAGUCUGUGGCUCAACCGUAAGAUAGCCGUUGAUACUGGGAGUCUUGAGUAUGUUUGAGGUAGGCGGAAUGCGUGGUGUAGCGGUGAAAUGCUUAGAUAUCACGCAGAACCCCGAUUGCGAAGGCAGCCUACCAAGCCACAACUGACGCUGAUGCACGAAAGCGUGGGUAUCAAACAGGAUUAGAUACCCGUGUAGUC